GCACUCGCCUGGGGGAGUACGGCCGCAAGGCUGAAACUCAAAAGAAUUGACGGGGGCCCCGCACAAGCGGUGGAGCAUGUGGUUUAAUUUCGAAGCAACGCGAAGAACCUUACCAGGUCUUGACAUCCUCUGACAUCCCUAGAGAUAGGGCUUUCCCUUCGGGGACAGAGUGACAGGUGGUGCAUGGUUGUCGUCAGCUCGUGUCGUGAGAUGUUGGGUUAAGUCCCGCAACGAGCGCAACCCUUGAUCUUAGUUGCCAGCAUUCAGUUGGGCACUCUAAGGUGACUGCCGGUGACAAACCGGAGGAAGGUGGGGAUGACGUCAAAUCAUCAUGCCCCUUAUGACCUGGGCUACACACGUGCUACAAUGGAUGGUACAAAGGGCAGCGAAGCCGCGAGGUGAAGCAAAUCCCAUAAAACCAUUCUCAGUUCGGAUUGCAGGCUGCAACUCGCCUGCAUGAAGCCGGAAUCGCUAGUAAUCGCGGAUCAGCAUGCCGCGGUGAAUACGUUCCCGG
Molecule: ribosomal RNA, 514 nt
Filed under: Paucisalibacillus globulus
Lineage: Bacteria; Bacillati; Bacillota; Bacilli; Caryophanales; Bacillaceae
Description: bacterial SSU rRNA
Rfam family: Bacterial small subunit ribosomal RNA
Source: RNAcentral